Molecule: long non-coding RNA, 227 nt
Filed under: Elaeis guineensis (African oil palm)
Lineage: Eukaryota; Viridiplantae; Streptophyta; Magnoliopsida; Arecales; Arecaceae
Description: long non-coding RNA (EGUI_LNC052283)
Source: RNAcentral
GAGCCGAGCUUCUACUACGAGCGGUCUGCUCCGAGCUCCUACUGCAGGCUGGCUAUUCCAGACGUCUACUGUAAGUAAAUCUCAUUCAAACUUCUACUAUAAACAAAUUUCUUCCGAACUUCUAUUACAGGUAGAUUUCAGCCGAGCUACUCCGUAGCGAGUGGAUUCUGGAUGAACUUCUACGACGGGACACCACUCCGAGCUUUCAUGACAACUGGUCCUCGCCC